RNAcentral lists this non-coding RNA (46 nucleotides) under Schistosoma mattheei. The record is from RNAcentral. Lineage: Eukaryota; Metazoa; Platyhelminthes; Trematoda; Strigeidida; Schistosomatidae.
AUCAAGCUGACGAGUCCUAAAAUGGGACGAGAUGCGCGUCCUUGAU